RNAcentral lists this ribosomal RNA (468 nucleotides) under uncultured bacterium. Its description in RNAcentral is "partial 16S ribosomal RNA". It matches the Rfam family "Bacterial small subunit ribosomal RNA", at positions 28 to 507 of the family's 1533-position model. The record is from RNAcentral.
GACGAACGCUGGCGGCGUGCUUAACACAUGCAAGUCGAACGGAAAGGCCCUGCUUUUGUGGGGUGCUCGAGUGGCGAACGGGUGUGUAACACGUGAGUAACCUGCCCUUGACUUUGGGAUAACUUCAGGAAACUGGGGCUAAUACCGGAUAGGAGCUCCUGCUGCAUGGUGGGGGUUGGAAAGUUUCGGCGGUUGGGGAUGGACUCGCGGCUUAUCAGCUUGUUGGUGGGGUAGUGGCUUACCAAGGCUUUGACGGGUAGCCGGCCUGAGAGGGUGACCGGCCACAUUGGGACUGAGGUACGGCCCAGACUCCUACGGGAGGCAGCAGUGGGGAAUAUUGCACAGUGGGCGGAAGCCUGAUGCGGCGACGCCGCGUGCGGGAUGACGGCCUUCGGGUUGUGAACCGCUUUCGCCUGUGCCGAAGCGUGAGUGACGGUAAUGGGUAAGGAAGCACCGGCUAACUACGUG